AAAAAAAAACUGAAGUAACAAAAACAGAGUUUCGAACGCGGUAGCUCUAACUACCACCGCCUGUCUUUCAACGAGAAAAGAACCAAGGAAUGGCACGCAAGAAGAUCAGAGAGUACGAUUCCAAGAGAUUGUUGAAGCAGCAUUUCAAGAGGCUUUCCGGCAAUGAUUUACCAAUCAAAUCUGCACAAGUGACGGAGUCAACUGAUUUCAAUGAGCUAGCCGAGAAGGAGCCAUGGCAUUUGUAAC
Molecule: long non-coding RNA, 246 nt
Organism: Hibiscus syriacus
Lineage: Eukaryota; Viridiplantae; Streptophyta; Magnoliopsida; Malvales; Malvaceae
Exons: 3
Source: RefSeq, a predicted model, not a curated record